RNAcentral lists this transfer RNA (149 nucleotides) under bacterium. RNAcentral's name for it is "tRNA-Lys". It matches the Rfam family "tRNA". Rfam says of the family: Transfer RNA (tRNA) molecules are approximately 80 nucleotides in length. Their secondary structure includes four short double-helical elements and three loops (D, anti-codon, and T loops). The record is from RNAcentral.
GCCGUUUUAGCUCAGUCGGUAGAGCGCAAGACUUUUAAUCGUGAGUUUAUUUUUUGAACCAUUGGACUUUCUUUUAUUUUGUUCUAACCUGUAUGUUUGUAAUCAUUCCCUUGUAGUUGUGGUCGAGGGUUCGACUCCCUCAAACGGCA